AUUAAAGUGGCAGAAUAUAUUGCGAGGAAUUU
RNAcentral lists this transfer RNA (32 nucleotides) under Ixodes trichosuri. RNAcentral describes it as "partial tRNA-Leu". Lineage: Eukaryota; Metazoa; Arthropoda; Arachnida; Ixodida; Ixodidae. The record is from RNAcentral.